CAUUUUCUAAAGCAGUGCACCGAGUU
Molecule: non-coding RNA, 26 nt
Filed under: Mus musculus (house mouse)
Lineage: Eukaryota; Metazoa; Chordata; Mammalia; Rodentia; Muridae
Source: RNAcentral